GAUGAAGAACGUAGCGAAAUGCGAUAAGUAAUGUGAAUUGCAGAUUUCAGUGAAUCAUCGAAUCUUUGAACGCACCUUGCGCCUUGUGGUAUUCCACAAGGCAUGCCCGUUUGAGUAUCAUUAAAUCAUCAACUCUAAAACCUUUGUGGUUUUUUUAGAGCUUGGUCUUGAGGGUUUUGCAGGCUUUUUUUUUCGAGUCUGCUCCCUUUAAAUGCAUUAGCGAGACUUCCCUAUGCUGAACCGUCUCUUUGACGUGAUAAUUAUCUGCGUCGAAUUUUGGUUCUCGUUGGGCUUGCUUCUAAUCGUCUGUUAAAGACAAAACGGAUUUGGGUGCAUAUAUGCGCCUUUUUCCAAAACCUUUUUUGAUCUCAAAUCGGGUAGGACUACCCGCUGAACUUAAGCAUAUCAAUAAGCGGAGGA
This 420-nucleotide unclassified non-coding RNA is filed under the name soil metagenome. RNAcentral's name for it is "partial contains 5.8S ribosomal RNA, internal transcribed spacer 2, and large subunit ribosomal RNA". The stretch from base 1 to 120 matches the Rfam family "5.8S ribosomal RNA", at positions 35 to 154 of the family's 154-position model. The record is from RNAcentral.